GAUGAACGCUAGCGAUAGGCUUAACACAUGCAAGUCGAGGGGCAGCACAAGGUAGCUUGCUAUCUGGGUGGCGACCGGCGCACGGGUGCGUAACGCGUAUGCAACUUGCCCUAUACAGGAGGAUAACCCGUCGAAAGACGGACUAAUACUGCGUAUGCUCACAACUUGGCAUCAAGUGGUGAGGAAAGAAAUUCGGUAUAGGAUAGGCAUGCGUCCCAUUAGCUUGUUGGUGAGGUAACGGCUCACCAAGGCAACGAUGGGUAGGGGAACUGAGAGGUUUAUCCCCCACACUGGUACUGAGACACGGACCAGACUCCUACGGGAGGCAGCAGUGAGGAAUAUUGGUCAAUGGGCGCGAACCUGAACCAGCCAAGUCGCGUGAAGGAUGACUGUCUUAUGGAUUGUAAACUUCUUUUAUACGGGAAUAACAAGAGUCACGUGUGACUCCCUGCAUGUACCGUAUGAAUAAGCAUCGGCUAACUCCGUG
RNAcentral lists this ribosomal RNA (487 nucleotides) under uncultured bacterium. RNAcentral describes it as "partial 16S ribosomal RNA". It matches the Rfam family "Bacterial small subunit ribosomal RNA", at positions 28 to 507 of the family's 1533-position model. The record is from RNAcentral.